CAGGGUUUGGCUGGCAUUCCAAAGUUUAUUUGAGUUAAUCUCCAUUCUCAUUGGCCUGCAAAGCUCAGUGAGAACUGGUUUUUCUGGGAGCACUUUCAUUGUUUCCUGAUUAGACUGGUAUCAGAAAUGCCAGAAAGAAAAAGAGAUUGAGAGACAGAAUUUUAUAGAAUGAUUUUUUAAGGUUAAAGGGCUUUUCUGGACUUUCAAGGACAUCAGGCUUAAGCUGUGCCCGAUGCGAAGAUUGUGUGUGGUCACUGAAGUUGGAAAUGCCACCAAGACUGCACAUGUUUGCAGCUGGCCCCCUACCGCUUGUUCAUUCUAGGGACCUCCCUGCUGUCUGGUUCUCAUCUGAUCCUUCCUCAGGCCACCAACCUUGUGAUAUAUCACAGAGUUUUGUGUCAUCACUGUCCUCUAUAGCUUCCUCUGCUUGCUGCAGCGGCAGACCCACAUUCUGUGACUGCAUCAGGAUGCACCAGUGUGACAUCAACUUCACUGGCUUUCUGUGUCCUCACCUCCGAAUUUGCACAGCCUGCAUCCAUCCUCCCACUCAUUCCUGGGAACAAAAUCAAAGUUUGUUCUGCUCCUUGAAACUUAACUUUGAUCCUUCUGAGAGGAAAGAAAUUGUAUGCUGCGAGGAAGUUCUUAUUCUUUGCCCAACAGAGAACACCUGUAAGGAAGAAAGAUGUGGGAGUAGAAACAAAAGGAGUUUGAAGACAAUGGAUCAAGAGGUCAAGCUCAUUUCUAGGUCUUGA
This 752-nucleotide long non-coding RNA is filed under the name Chinchilla lanigera (long-tailed chinchilla). RNAcentral's name for it is "lncRNA (ENSCLAG00000024525.1)". Lineage: Eukaryota; Metazoa; Chordata; Mammalia; Rodentia; Chinchillidae. The record is from RNAcentral.